UAAAUAAGACCACAAACCACAAAACUUGUGCCAAAAAAAAAAAAAACAAAAACAAAAACAAAAAACCGAACAUAGGAAACACAAAAGUCAGACUACGAGGGGAGCCUAAAAUAUGUAGAUGACCAGAGGCAACGGUAUACACACAAGAAACUCAGACUCACCGUGUAUACCCUGAUGACCAAAGGUUGAACCCACCUUAAACAUCGAGAGAAACCAAUGAACAGUUCCGUCGGAACCGAAAAUAUGUAGACCAGGGACCGAAAUCCACAUGCCCACCAACAACCGCAUUAACGAACGACCCCAACACACCGAAAUAUAGACUGCCGACACUUAUAAUCGGGAACGGCAAGGUUUGAGGGAAGAUAAAUUCACACCCGAUAAGGAUUUAGAACGCUAGCUCUGAUACUAUGUUAAAGAGACCAAGAAAAUCAAGAGGAAUGUCUGAAAACUUGCCUUCCCAUUGUGUUCACCUAUUG
This 476-nucleotide long non-coding RNA is filed under the name Olea europaea (common olive). Its description in RNAcentral is "long non-coding RNA (OEUR_LNC011956)". Lineage: Eukaryota; Viridiplantae; Streptophyta; Magnoliopsida; Lamiales; Oleaceae. The record is from RNAcentral.